UACGUAGGGACCGAGCGUUGUCCGGAAUCAUUGGGCGUAAAGAGCGUGUAGGCGGCUUGCUAAGUCCUGCGUGAAAUCUCGGGGCUCAACCCCGGACUUGCAGUGGGUACGGGCAGACUAGAGUGUGGUAGGGGGAGACUGGAAUUCCUGGUGUAGCGGUGAAAUGCGCAGAUAUCAGGAGGAACACCGAUGGCGAAGGGCAGGUCUCUGGGCCACUACUGACGCUGGAGAAGCGAAAGCAUGGGGAGCGAACAGG
RNAcentral lists this ribosomal RNA (256 nucleotides) under uncultured bacterium. Its description in RNAcentral is "partial 16S ribosomal RNA". It matches the Rfam family "Bacterial small subunit ribosomal RNA", at positions 524 to 776 of the family's 1533-position model. The record is from RNAcentral.